UAGACUGUAACAGAACAGACAAGAACUGUGGAGUUAUAUCAAAAGUUGCAACAUGUAUAUAAUUGGAAUAUCAAAAAGAGAAGAAGAAGAAAAUGGAGCAGAAGAAACAUUUGCAGAAAUAAUGACUGAGAAGUUCUCAAAUUAAGAACAGAUAUCAAGCCACAGAACCAGGAAGCUUAGACAAUAUCAGCAGAAUAAACACCAAAGACUCCACACGGAGACACACCACAUUCAAACUGCAAAAAACAAAAAUAAAGAAAAAAAAAUUUAAUGAAUCUAGGAUUGGAGAACACUUUCCAUACUGAGGUAAAAGAAUACAAAUUACCAGAGACUUCUCAUGAAAAAUAAUGCAAACAAGAAGAGAAUGAAAUGAAAUCAUUAAAAUGCUCAAAGAAAAAGACUACAACCAUGAGUUCUAUAUCCAUUUAAAUUAUUAUUUCUUCAAAAAGAAGAAAUAAAAACUUUCUUAGACAAACAAAAACUAAAAAUUCCCACCCAGUGGACUUGCUCUGCAAGACAUGUUAAAAGAAGGUCUUUAGGCGGAAGGAAAAUCAUGUGUAGAUCAGAUGCUUGAAUCUACAUAAAGAAUCUAUGGCCAUACCACCCUGAACGUGCCCAAUCUCGUCUGAAUCUACAUAAAGAAAAAAGAAAGCAUCAGAGAAGUAGUUCAUGAAGUAUUCCUUAUGUGCACAUGAGAAAGUCACCACAGAAAAGAAAGCAACCUGAUGCUGUCAGAGUGACUCACGUAUCCUCUAUUCUUGGAAGGAGGAGAAAAGAUGGAAGGCCAAUGCAAUACUUUGUUACAUGGAUCUUAUGUUACAUUAUGUCUGUGGCCCAGCAUGCUUAUGUGAAAGAAAGAAUACCAGUCUCAUUUUUCAGGUAUACAACUUCAAGAGAACACCAUGGCUUUAGUCAAAAGGAAAGAAGCUGCGUCAUGUUGUCGGUGUUUGAAGGAAGAAAAGGCUGAAGAUAAUUCUUUAUCAGGUGGAACAGAACCUCUUAUAUGAAAACUCUCUGUUCCCAUCAUUCAAAGACUACCAGGAACACAUCUGUGAUCAACAAAGAGAUUAUCUUGGUAGGAUGCCUGCUGAUGUUGGCUUUGAGUGACGUGACCUUCAACGCUUCCUUAAACAUGGACAUGAAAAGGAUCAGCUUCCAGCAGAUUAAGUGAAGUCAAGAAAACUACCAAGAAAAAAAAAUAAUAAAGGCAGUUUAACUUUGAAAGCAAUUUUACUCAAUAUUUCUAAUUUGCCUUUAAGACUUGUAAGAGCCUAGCUUAAAUAAACAGAUUUCUAGAUC
Molecule: long non-coding RNA, 1299 nt
Filed under: Homo sapiens (human)
Lineage: Eukaryota; Metazoa; Chordata; Mammalia; Primates; Hominidae
Description: HSALNT0352814
Source: RNAcentral